RNAcentral lists this ribosomal RNA (477 nucleotides) under uncultured bacterium. Its description in RNAcentral is "SSU rRNA". It matches the Rfam family "Bacterial small subunit ribosomal RNA", at positions 26 to 523 of the family's 1533-position model. The record is from RNAcentral.
AGGAUGAACGCUAGCGGCGUGCCUAACACAUGCAAGUCGAACGUCCUGUCUCGCAAGAGGCAGGGAGUGGCGGACGGGUGAGUACCACGUGGGUCAUCUACCGUGAGGUGAGGAAUACCGGCGAGAAAUCGCCGACAAGACCGCAUAGCCUCGGUGCAAGCCGAGGAAAGCUUUCUCGAGAGAGGGAGCGCCACACGAGGAGCCUGCGCCCGAUUAGCUAGCUGGUGGAGUAACGGUUCACCAGGGCGACGAUCGGUAGCUGGUCUGAGAGGACGAUCAGCCACACUGGGAUUGAGAACGGCCCAGACUCCUACGGGGGGCAGCAGUGAGGAAUUUCGUCAAUGGGGGCAACCCUGAACGAGCAACGCCGCGUGCAGGAAGAAGGUUUUCGGAUCGUAAACUGCUUUUCUCGGGGAAGAGAACGGACGGUACCCGAGGAAUCAGCCCCGGCUAACUACGUGCCAGCAGCCGCGGUAA